RNAcentral lists this ribosomal RNA (910 nucleotides) under Bacillus atrophaeus. RNAcentral's name for it is "bacterial SSU rRNA". It matches the Rfam family "Bacterial small subunit ribosomal RNA", at positions 28 to 919 of the family's 1533-position model. The record is from RNAcentral. Lineage: Bacteria; Bacillati; Bacillota; Bacilli; Caryophanales; Bacillaceae.
GACGAACGCUGGCGGCGUGCCUAAUACAUGCAAGUCGAGCGGACAGAUGGGAGCUUGCUCCCUGAUGUUAGCGGCGGACGGGUGAGUAACACGUGGGUAACCUGCCUGUAAGACUGGGAUAACUCCGGGAAACCGGGGCUAAUACCGGAUGCUUGUUUGAACCGCAUGGUUCAAACAUAAAAGGUGGCUUCGGCUCCCACUUACAGAUGGACCCGCGGCGCAUUAGCUAGUUGGUGAGGUAACGGCUCACCAAGGCAACGAUGCGUAGCCGACCUGAGAGGGUGAUCGGCCACACUGGGACUGAGACACGGCCCAGACUCCUACGGGAGGCAGCAGUAGGGAAUCUUCCGCAAUGGACGAAAGUCUGACGGAGCAACGCCGCGUGAGUGAUGAAGGUUUUCGGAUCGUAAAGCUCUGUUGUUAGGGAAGAACAAGUGCCGUUCAAAUAGGGCGGCACCUUGACGGUACCUAGCCAGAAAGCCACGGCUAACUACGUGCCAGCAGCCGCGGUAAUACGAAGGUGGCAAGCGUUGUCCGGAAUUAUUGGGCGUAAAGGGCUCGCAGGCGGUUUCUUAAGUCUGAUGUGAAAGCCCCCGGCUCAACCGGGGAGGGUCAUUGGAAACUGGGGAACUUGAGUGCAGAAGAGGAGAGUGGAAUUCCACGUGUAGCGGUGAAAUGCGUAGAGAUGUGGAGGAACACCAGUGGCGAAGGCGACUCUCUGGUCUGUAACUGACGCUGAGGAGCGAAAGCGUGGGGAGCGAACAGGAUUAGAUACCCUGGUAGUCCACGCCGUAAACGUUGAGUGCUAAGUGUUAGGGGGUUUCCGCCCCUUAGUGCUGCAGCUAACGCAUUAAGCACUCCGCCUGGGGAGUACGGUCGCAAGACUGAAACUCAAAGGAAUUGACGGGGG